This 5050-nucleotide long non-coding RNA is filed under the name Malus domestica (apple). Its description in RNAcentral is "long non-coding RNA (MDOM_LNC017907)". The record is from RNAcentral. Lineage: Eukaryota; Viridiplantae; Streptophyta; Magnoliopsida; Rosales; Rosaceae.
AAAUGUCCCUAACUUUAAACAUUAAUAACUCUUUCGUUACAACUACGUUUCACGAACGGUUUUCACCUACGUGCUCGUGGGAUCGUCCUCUAUCCAAAAAUAUAAAUUGUGACUUCCAAAGGUCUAUGGAUUUUAAAUAAUUAAUUCUCAAACUUCUAACUUCAUAACCAGUUUAAUUUUAAACUAAACUCAAAUGAAUUAAUAUAAUUUCUCCAAAAAUAACAUAAAAUCUCAAUAAUACAAACCCGUAACUUUUAAUAAUUUCUAGAAACAAAACUUUAAAAGUUCUCGAUUAAAUUCUUCAUAACCAUAAAUCGAUUUAUUUUCGAUUUUCUCCACAUUUCAUAAUUAUGAAUAUAUAUAAUCCAUAUAUUUAAAUUUUCAGGGUAUUACAUUCACCCCCCAUUAAAAUCGUGAAGUUACGAGCAAGAACUAGCACUAUUUCCACCAUCUCUACUAUGGUGAAUAAGAUUAUAACCUCUGUCCACGAUUUUAUUCAAAUUAGAAAAAAAAUCAAUGAAGAAUUUAUCGUGAUCGCACUCAUUUUCUCAGUUUUCCAACCACCUUCUUUGAUAAGUAAAAAUACCAUAACUUCUAGCCAUAUACCUUAACAGAAUAAAUAUCGUAAAUUCUAGCUGUAAUUCAUCAGUAGCUAAGUAAAUAUCACAAUAUCAAGCCAAACCACUAAAAUUAACAAAUCAGUUAGCAAAAAUUUCAACCAAAAUCAUUGGAAUUCCAACCAUCAUUACUCGCUACCAUACCAAAAUAAAGAUCCAAAAUUUUCAUUACCUUGAAAUGAAACCAAGGCUUGAAAUUAACAUGCAUCAACCAACCAAAACACGGGUUGAACUUAAGUAUAUGUUCAUCUAUUGCAUUUGAACUUUGGCAUCUGGGAUUUCACAUACAUGGCACACGUUUUGUUAUUAACCAUCUAUGCAAAUAAUACGAAAUAUUUCUCUAACCAAAAUCCAAACAAUGCACAUGUAGGCACAAUCAUAUUGAUUAGAACCACUACUAUUCUUUCCACAUUCAAGUUUAAACCUUCAUUUCCGCAAUGCAUAGUUGAUUAAAAUGUCAAAUGUUAAACCAUGACUAUCAUGACUAACAAAAUAUCAGAUUUUUCUGUCAUAAUUCAUUAAUGGCAAACCAACAAAUCAAAUUUGAAUUUAUAACUUUCUCUUCCCCAAACGUAAAACCCAACCGGGAAAACGUUAAUAUUAACGAACUCGAAAUUUCAUGCCACACUUUCAAGUUCCAAAAAAAAUAAGCAAAUCAACGAAUUAUAAUUGUGAUAAUCACUCACAUUCUCCUAUUCCCAAACACAUUUAUUGGCAGAAUAAAUAAAAAAAUUCUAACCAUACUCAUUGGCAACAAUAAAUAUUAUAAAUUUCCAACCAAAACUUUAUGAUUGGCAAAAUGAACAUAAAAAAAAAAUUUCAACCAAAUUCAUGGAAAAUUUCCAAUCACACUCACUGGUUAAUGGAAAGAAAAUUAAAACUAAAUUCGCAACACCACCAAUAUAAAUUCUCAUUUUAUGGUUCCCUUCAUUUUUCGCAAUUAACUAAAUUGCCCACAAUAAAAGUAAAACCUUUUAAAUCUUCCUUUCGAUUGCUUCACUUUUAACUUUCCUCAAAUGUAGCCACAAAUUUAAUAAAUUAGUGACUCGCACUUCCAGAGCACUACUUACAUUCCAUCAUCCAAGGGAGAGAAAUAUAUAUAUAUAUAUAUAUCACAACUUUAACGGUCAACAAAAUUAAAUUUUAAAUAAUCACAUAGUUACGAGAAUAUAUGCUCGUCAUUAGUUUUUGUUUGCAAUAUCAAAUCUAACAAUGCCAACUCAAGACCAAGGCAACCAAAAUAAUCAAAUUUGUAAAAAAAUUUCCCCAUCAAUUUUUCAUCAAUCAUAAAAAGUUCUCAUAUCACACAACUAGAAAUUCGUUUAUAUUAAACGAAGUAAAAUAUCAUUUCAUAAUUUCAUUCACAUCCACCCUAAAUAAAGGAGAAAAUUCCAUAAUCUUUUCACCAUUCCAAAUAUAAUGAUCAAGCAUAACUACAGUUUAUAAUUUCCUUCCCAUUCGAAAAAUCACCGUAUCUUCCAUAAAAAUUAAAGUUUCCAACCAAAUUAUCGUGGCCAUAAUAUUUUUAAAAUUUGUACCUAUAUCAUUGUCAAACCACUAAUUUCACCACCAUUUUCUUUUAUCUUCAUCAAUGACUAGUAGGUGAUUGGAGCAUAUUUAUGCGAUUGAGUUAGCUUGUUCUCAUGCAUUUAUGUUGUUAUUUCUUAGUUAAUUAUGUAUUUUAAGCUAUUUUCGUUUAUUUGUAGGUCCAUAGGCCUUAUAAAGCAAUAAGAUGCAUUUUGGUGCAUUUUGGAGCAGUUUUGGGCUUGGAAUGGAUAGCACAUGCAUGAAGCAAGGUGGAUGGACGAAAUUGAAGACUAAAGAGGCUAGGAAUGUGUUAAAGAGAAAGAAGAAUUAGUGUAAAAAGGACAAAGAGCUCAGCUACAAAGGGGUGUCACUCCACCAUUCACCUUUCCACAUUGCCGUGCACCACCAUUGCACUCCUUUUGGAUUCCUAUGCCGUGCAUCAUCAUCCAUAUUCCCUCCAUUGACUCAUUUGUUGCAUCAUUCCACUUCCUUUCCUUUGUCUACCAUGUGCAUAAUAUCCUUUCACCUCCUUGCACUCAUUGAUUCACCUAGGGCUAGGUUCAGUUCAAAUCGGUUCCGUUUUUGCCAAAACCAAAACCAAACCGAAAUUUCGGUUCGGUUUGGUUUUUUUUCAGUUCAGUUUUUUUUAGUUUGGUUUUUUUUGGUUCGAUUUUUUCCAUGAAUUUUUUUUUUUAAAUCUAGAUAUUGGCAUGUUAUUUAGCUGCCCUAAAAUCAUUCCAAAAAACAUAAUAACGUUUAGACCUUAAACUUGAUAAAUAUGGUGAUAAAUUAUAUUACUAAAACCUAGCUACUAGAACAAAUGAAUAUCAAAUCAAGCUGUUUUCAUGACUACCUGGAACAAUAGGCUCUUAUUCCGUGUAUGCAAGAAAAACCAUCAUCAUGGAAUGACGUCCAUCCAAGCGGAGAACACUCAUCAACCUGUGAUUUAUAAAUUCUCUCCGAGAAGCUUAUGGCUUUCCUUGCAGUAUCCGUGGGUGGUUGGGUUAUAUAUUGCACAGGAGAUCAAUGAGAUGGGAAAGGAAUAUAUGCCUAUUAUCAUCCUAAUGAUUGUUAUUUGCUGCAGGUUUGCUAUACAUAGAGAAAUACAUAUCCAAUGCAAAAUAAUAUUUGAAAUGUGGCAUGCAUAUAGUACAGUUUACUCUUGUUUUCAUGUUUCAUCUUUUUUUUUUUUUUUUUUUUUUUUUUUAAAUCUGGAUAUGGGUAAAGAAACAAUAUUUUGAGCUUAAAGUUUGGGUUUCGAGUUUCUAAAGGCUUUAUUUUUAAUAUUUUGGAUUUAAAGUUUGGCAACACAUUGGGCUUACAAAUUGGGUUUAGAAAAUAAUACCCAAAAUAGAUAAUUAAAUUAAAAAAAUAAUUAAAAAAAAUUAAUUUAAUUAAUUCGGUUCGGUUCGGUUCGGUUUCUAAACCACUAAAACCGAAACCGAACCAAAAGAAUUCGAUUCGGUUUGGUUUUUGCAAUUCGGUUCGGUUUUUUCGUUCGGUUUGGUUUUUUCGGUUUCGGUUCGGUUAGGUUUUCGGUUUUUUUCGAUUUUUGGUUUUUUGAACCCACCACUAGAUUCACCACUUACUCACCUUUCCACCCAUGCCAUGCAUAAUCACCCUUGUCCCCUUCAUGCACCAGAUUUCUUGCACUCAUUUCAUGCACCAUUACACUCAUUAUCCACCCAUGCCGUGCACCACCCUUGUCUCCUUCAUUAUUUCUGAUUUCAUGCAUCAAAACAUUGAAUCAUUGCACUCAAUUGCUGCACAUUUCUUGUCCCCUUCACCCAUCAGAUUUCAUACAACUUUUACCUCCACUACAUGCACUCAUUGAUGCACCAUCCACCACAUUUGGAAUCCCAUGUUGUGCAUCAUGAGUCUUGCUGCACCUUUGACUACCAUGUGCAUCAUUUCUCUACCAUGUGCACAAUCAUUCAUGUUCCCUAGCUGCAACACCACUCCAUUUUACCCCCCAUGCUUUGCAUCAUCACUUCAUUUUCACCUUUGAAUCAUUUCAAACACCACUCAAUGCACUCAUUGCUACAACACAACUCCAUGUUACCCCCCAUGCUUUGCAUCAUUACUUCAUUUUUACCCUUGAAUCAUUGCAAACACCACCAAAUUCCCUCCAUUGCCAUGCACUUCCUCUAUAAAAGGAAGUGUGUGUGGCAGCCAUAGAGUUUAGUUUUUGCUUGAUCAUUCAUCCCCAUUUCAAUACAACCUUCACCCAAACACAUCCAUUCAUCUUCACAUCCAUUCCUCCAUACAAACAAACCUUCAAACACUCACCAACACCUUGUGCCGUAGCAAAGGAAGGGAAGGAAAGUGCUUGGACGUGCUUGCUGUCCAACUUGGAUCGUUGGAGCGUUUAGGUGUUUUCUUUCUUUCGUUUCUAAUGUUUAAAUUUAUCUCCUUUUGUUUUGUUGUAAAUAUGAGUGGCUAAACCCCUCUUGGCUAAGGGUGAUUUCAAAGCCAUGAUUAUGUGUGCAAUAUAAUUUGAUAAAUUCCAGUUAUGAACUCUUGAAUCGUGAAUGCAAUUGACUUAACUAUUUGAUUGAUAACUUAUUUGUAUUUGUUAAUUAAGGGUCGACACUUAAUUGGCAUGCAUAAAUCCGUUGCUAGAAUAUAAGGAAGUUUCACAUAAUCGUUACAAACUUAUAUUCACAUGUAGUGAAAAUCGCUUAUAAAUGAUCGCGUUAAGUUCAAUUCCUAGCAUGAGUGACAUGAUGUCAUAGUUGCAAGUGCUUUGUCAAUGCUUAUGAUUUUCAUUAAAUGUAAUGAUCUUUGAUUGUAUCUUUAUUAUGAUGUCAUGUAGGGAACUUUAGAAGAAUGUUUUGGGUUGUCGAAUGAUGUCGUCCAAUCCAAUAAAACAAGGAAAAUCUGAGAGUUAACUAGUGAUGUCACGG